This 106-nucleotide transfer RNA is filed under the name candidate division MSBL1 archaeon SCGC-AAA382N08. RNAcentral's name for it is "candidate divison MSBL1 archaeon SCGC-AAA382N08 tRNA". It matches the Rfam family "tRNA". Rfam says of the family: Transfer RNA (tRNA) molecules are approximately 80 nucleotides in length. Their secondary structure includes four short double-helical elements and three loops (D, anti-codon, and T loops). The record is from Rfam by way of RNAcentral. Lineage: Archaea; Methanobacteriati; Methanobacteriota.
GCGGGGGUGCCCGAGUUUGGUCGAAGGGGCCGGACUUAAGAUCUCAAGGUGGAUAGGCCAUCCGGUGGCCGUAGGGCCUUCGUGGGUUCGAAACCCACCCCCCGCA